AACAAGGAUUCCCUAGUAACUGCGAGUGAAGCGGGAAAAGCUCAAAUUUAAAAUCUGGCGUCCUUUGGGCGUCCGAGUUGUAAUCUGGAGAAGCGUUUUCCGCGUUGGACCGUGUACAAGUCUCCUGGAACGGAGCGUCAUAGAGGGUGAGAAUCCCGUCCAUGACACGGACUACCAAUGCUUUGUGAUACGCUCUCGAAGAGUCGAGUUGUUUGGGAAUGCAGCUCAAAAUGGGUGGUAAAUUCCAUCUAAAGCUAAAUAUUGGCGAGAGACCGAUAGCGAACAAGUACCGUGAGGGAAAGAUGAAAAGCACUUUGGAAAGAGAGUUAAACAGUACGUGAAAUUGUUGAAAGGGAAACGCUUGAAGUCAGUCGCGUCUUGCGGAACUCAGCCUUACUUCGGUUUGGUGUACUUUCUGUUUGACGGGUCAACAUCAAUUUUGAUCGGUAGAAAAAGCUUGAGGAAAGGUAGCGUUGUUUCGGCGACGUGUUAUAGUCUUCUUGCGUAUAUAUCGGUUGGGAUUGAGGACCGCAGCACGCCUUUAAUGGCCGGGGGUUCGCCCUACGUAUCGUGCUUAGGAUGUUGGCAUAAUGGCUUUAAGCGACCCGUCUUGAAACACGGACCAAGGAGUCUAACAUGCUUGCGAGUGUUCGGGUGGAAAACCCUUGCGCGUAAUGAAAGUGAAAGUUGGGAACCUCCGCAAGGGGGUGCACCGACGCCCGGCCCUGAAGUUCUCUGACGGUGCUGCGGUAGAGCACGUAUGUUGGGACCCGAAAGAUGGUGAACUAUGCCUGAAUAGGGCGAAGCCAGAGGAAACUCUGGUGGAGGCUCGUAGCGAUUCUGACGUGCAAAUCGAUCGUCAAAUUUGGG
Molecule: ribosomal RNA, 870 nt
Filed under: Hydnoporia tabacina
Lineage: Eukaryota; Fungi; Basidiomycota; Agaricomycetes; Hymenochaetales; Hymenochaetaceae
Description: eukaryotic LSU rRNA
Rfam family: Eukaryotic large subunit ribosomal RNA
Source: RNAcentral